AUCAUGACCUGAGCUGAAGUUGGACGCUCAACCGACUGAGCCACCCAGGUGCCCCUACAGGCUUCUUGACAAUCUCAUCAGUACUGAAGUGACUAAAAAAAUCUAUCCAAACCUCUUCAAAACUAGUUUCUGGGAUGGAAAUGAAGAAUAUGAGUGAAUGUAUAAAUGUUUACUAAGCCUUGCUGAGAGGCCCUCAUCUACUCACCUGCGACCACAGAAGGAAAGUAUGUCUUCAGGAAGCGACCCAUCUGUCAGGUUUUUGAAGAUCAAUAAACUCAUACUUUGUGACACAUCAUGAUGGAAAACAUAAGGGUCCUGGAAUCAAAAGGAAGAAUCAGAUAAAAGGGAGUCUUUGCUCUUCCAAAAGUGAGGAGUACGCAAGUGAUGGGUGCUCUGCUCACUCGGAGGGGAGCCAAAUGGAAGCCUGAAGCCUGAAGCCUGAAGCCUGAAGGGGGUGGGGUGAGAACAGAAGUAAACAUAUGCAGAAUGCUGAAAAGAACUGAUUGAAAGCUUUUGCUCUGUCAUUCCUCUCUUUCCUUUCCUGCUUUUCCUUCCCGGUUUGUGACUGUGGACCAAAUGCAACCUACUUAUUUCAAAGAAUCACUGGAUCUGGAAUGAGCUGUCACCUUGUAGAUUGUCUCAUCCAAACUCCUACCCAUUGCUAUAAUUCUCCGCUUGAUUCAGGAGCACUUUUUCUCCUCCAGCAGCUUUCCCAGCAGCUUUUGAGCCUAUCAAUUAAAAGUGUGCUGAGGAGACUAGAGGUUUCGCAAUCAGUUCUGGGUCCAAACUGUGGCUCUCUCACUGACUUGUGAUAUCCAGGGCAAGUUAUCCCAAAUCUCAGGGCCCCUGUCUUAUCUGUUAAAUGGUUAUAAUAGAAAUGAAUUCACAGCAGUCUGAAAAUUAAAUGAAGUAAUAGUUUAAUAUAUAAAACUGUAGUCUAUAAAAGACUCAGCACUCAGAGCUAAAUUAAGAGUAGCUAAGUGUUGGG
Long non-coding RNA from Lynx canadensis (Canada lynx), 988 nucleotides. RefSeq lists it as uncharacterized. The transcript has 4 exons. The record is from RefSeq and is a predicted model, not a curated record. Lineage: Eukaryota; Metazoa; Chordata; Mammalia; Carnivora; Felidae.